CCUACGGGGGGCAGCAGUGGGGAAUAUUGCACAAUGGGGGAAACCCUGAUGCAGCGACGCCGCGUGAGUGAAGAAGUAUUUCGGUAUGUAAAGCUCUAUCAGCAGGGAAGAAAAAAGACGGUACCUGACUAAGAAGCCCCGGCUAACUACGUGCCAGCAGCCGCGGUAAUACGUAGGGGGCACGCGUUAUCCGGAGUUACUGGGUGUAAAGGGAGCGUAUACGGCUGGGCAAGUCUGAAGUGAAAGGCAGGGGCUUAACCCGGGAACUGCGUUGGAAACUGGGAUGCUAGAGGGCUGGAGAGGUAAGUGGAAUUCCUGGUGUAGCGGUGAAAUGCGUAGAUAUUAGGAGGAACACCAGUGGCGAAGGCGGUCUGCUGGACAGCAACUGACGCUGAGGCGCGAAAGCGUGGGGAGCGAACAGGAUUAGAUACCCGGGUAGUC
Molecule: ribosomal RNA, 441 nt
Filed under: uncultured bacterium
Lineage: Bacteria
Description: partial 16S ribosomal RNA
Rfam family: Bacterial small subunit ribosomal RNA
Source: RNAcentral